Molecule: ribosomal RNA, 543 nt
Filed under: uncultured Trichosporon
Lineage: Eukaryota; Fungi; Basidiomycota; Tremellomycetes
Description: eukaryotic LSU rRNA
Rfam family: Eukaryotic large subunit ribosomal RNA
Source: RNAcentral
ACGGCGAGUGAAGCGGGAUGAGCUCAAAUUUAAAAUCUGGCUGGUUUACUAGUCCGAAUUGUAGUUUAUAGAAGCGUUUUCGGUGGCAGCCUGGGUAUAAAUCCUUUGGAAUAGGGUAUCAUAGAGGGUGAGAAUCCCGUCUUUGACUCAGUGCAUGCUACUAUGUGAUACGUUUUCAAAGAGUCGAGUUGUUUGGGAAUGCAGCUCAAAAUGGGUGGUAAAUUCCAUCUAAAGCUAAAUAUUGGCGAGAGACCGAUAGCGAACAAGUACCGUGAGGGAAAGAUGAAAAGCACUUUGGAAAGAGAGUUAAACAGUACGUGAAAUUGUUAAAAGGGAAACGAUUGAAGUCAGUCGUGUUUAUUGGAUUCAGCCGGUCUUCGGUGUACUUCCUUUAAACGGGUCAACAUCAGUUUUGUUCGGUGGAUAAAGGUAUUAGGAAUGUGGCUUCUUCGGAAGUGUUAUAGCCUAGUAUUGCAUACACUGGAGGAGACUGAGGACUGCGGCUCGCCUUUAUGGCCGGGGUUCGCCCACGUUCGAGCUUAG